RNAcentral lists this ribosomal RNA (460 nucleotides) under uncultured bacterium. Its description in RNAcentral is "partial 16S ribosomal RNA". It matches the Rfam family "Bacterial small subunit ribosomal RNA", at positions 338 to 795 of the family's 1533-position model. The record is from RNAcentral.
CCUACGGGUGGCUGCAGUGAGGAAUAUUGGUCAAUGGGCGCGAGCCUGAACCAGCCAAGUAGCGUGAAGGAUGACUGCCCUACGGGUUGUAAACUUCUUUUAUAAAGGAAUAAAGUGAGGCACGUGUGCCUUUUUGUAUGUACUUUAUGAAUAAGGAUCGGCUAACUCCGUGCCAGCAGCCGCGGUAAUACGGAGGUGGCAAGCGUUGUCCGGAUUUACUGGGUGUAAAGGGCGUGUAGCCGGGAAGGCAAGUCAGAUGUGAAAUCUGGAGGCUCAACCGUAAAAUUGCAAUUGAUACUGGCAGUCUUGAGUACAGUUGAGGUAGGCGGAAUUCGUGGUGUAGCGGUGAAAUGCUUAGAUAUCACGAAGAACUCCGAUUGCGAAGGCAGCUUACUAAACUGCCACUGACAUUGAUGCUCGAAAGUGUGGGUAUCAAACAGGAUUAGAUACCCCUGUAGUC